CCCAGGAUGCAGUUGGCCUUCUGGGCCACAAGCGCACACUGCUGGCUCACGUCGAGCUUUUUGUCCACAAGAACCCCCAAGACCUUCUCUGCGAGGGCUGCUCUCAAUGAGUUCUUCUCCCAGCCUGUCCGCAUGUCUGGGAUUGCCCUGACCCAGGUGGCGGCACCUUGCGCUUAGACCUAUAGAUAUUUCAUGUUACUAUUG
Molecule: long non-coding RNA, 204 nt
Organism: Cygnus olor (mute swan)
Lineage: Eukaryota; Metazoa; Chordata; Aves; Anseriformes; Anatidae
Exons: 4
Source: RefSeq, a predicted model, not a curated record